UUAUUUGAAGGCCGUGGCUUGUUGCAAUUAUGUGUUAAUGCAAAAACAUAUUGCACAAUCCCCGGCCUGUAAAUGA
Glossina morsitans morsitans is the source of this 76-nucleotide non-coding RNA. NCBI's taxonomy places the organism in Eukaryota, Metazoa, Arthropoda, Insecta, Diptera, Glossinidae. The record is from Rfam.